RNAcentral lists this ribosomal RNA (253 nucleotides) under uncultured bacterium. Its description in RNAcentral is "partial 16S ribosomal RNA". It matches the Rfam family "Bacterial small subunit ribosomal RNA", at positions 524 to 776 of the family's 1533-position model. The record is from RNAcentral.
UACGUAGGGGGCAAGCGUUGUCCGGAAUCAUUGGGCGUAAAGAGCGUGUAGGUGGCUCGGUAAGUCCGCUGUGAAAGUCCAGGGCUCAACCCUGGAAAGCCGGUGGAAACUGUCGAGCUCGAGUCCGGAAGAGGCGAGUGGAAUUCCUGGUGUAGCGGUGAAAUGCGCAGAUAUCAGGAGGAACACCAAUGGCGAAGGCAGCUCGCUGGGACGGUACUGACACUGAGGAGCGAAAGCAUGGGGAGCGAACAGG